AUUGAACGCUGGCGGCAGGCUUAACACAUGCAAGUCGAGCGAGCGGAGGACGGGUGAGUAAUGUCUGGGAAACUGCCUGAUGGCGGGGGAUAAAUACUGGAAACGGUAGCUAAUACCGCAUACCAUCAGAUGAACCCAUAUGGGAUUAGCUAGUAGGUAAGGUAACGGCUUACCUAGGCGACGAUCCCUAGCUGGUCUGAGAGGAUGAUCAGCCACACUGGGACUGAGCCACGGCCCAGACUCCUACGGGGGGCAGCAGUGGGGAAUAUUGCACAAUGGGCGCAAGCCUGAUGCAGCCCUGCCGCGUGUAUGAAGAAGGCCUUCGGGUUGUAAAGUCCUUUCAGUCGGGAGGCGUUACCGACAGAAGAAGCACCGGCUAACUCCGUGCCAGCAGCCGCGGUAAUAC
RNAcentral lists this ribosomal RNA (406 nucleotides) under uncultured bacterium. Its description in RNAcentral is "partial 16S ribosomal RNA". It matches the Rfam family "Bacterial small subunit ribosomal RNA", at positions 30 to 526 of the family's 1533-position model. The record is from RNAcentral.